UGGAGAGUUUGAUCCUGGCUCAGGACGAACGCUGGCGGCGUGCUUAACACAUGCAAGUCGAGCGGAAAGGCCCCUUCGGGGGUACUCGAGCGGCGAACGGGUGAGUAACACGUGAGCAACC
Molecule: ribosomal RNA, 121 nt
Filed under: Actinomadura geliboluensis
Lineage: Bacteria; Bacillati; Actinomycetota; Actinomycetes; Streptosporangiales; Thermomonosporaceae
Also listed under: 1 other name
Description: partial 16S ribosomal RNA
Rfam family: Bacterial small subunit ribosomal RNA
Source: RNAcentral